UGCCAGCAGCCGCGGUAAUACGAAGGGGGCAAGCGUUGUUCGGAAUCACUGGGCAUAAAGAGUUCGUAGGCGGUCUUAUUAGUUGGGUGUGAAAUCCCGGGGCUUACCCCCGGAACUGCACUCAAAACUGUAAGGCUGGAGUCCCUGAGGGGUAAGUGGAAUUCCAGGUGUAGCGGUGAAAUGCGUAGAUAUCUGGGAGAAGGCCAAUGGCGAAGGCAGCUUACUGGUGGGUGACUGACGCUGAGGAACGAAAGUUAGGGUAUCGAACGGGAUUAGAUA
Molecule: ribosomal RNA, 279 nt
Filed under: uncultured bacterium
Lineage: Bacteria
Description: partial 16S ribosomal RNA
Rfam family: Bacterial small subunit ribosomal RNA
Source: RNAcentral